CUGCUCGCACCCGCUUGGUAAAAGGCGUGCAACGCUGCUGCCGCCGCUGAUCUCCCUUCAAGGCCUUCACUCACGCUUCUACUGCCGUCUACACAAUGCGGCUGCUUACGCAUAACUUUCUCGCCUGCCUGAAGUGCGACACGUACCCCCUCCAUGUGACCGCCGCGGAGAUGGAGGAGAUUCCGGUGGAGUACGACGCCGAGUUCACGCGCCGCAUGCUGGCGCGUGUCGACUACGCAAGUCUGCGCACCACUUUUCACGCACUGCGCGAGGCGCACGAGUUGGUGCGUGGGCUGUCCCACGACGAGGGCGCUGAUACGGCCGAGGCGGCGUCGGCAUCUUCUGAGCUGCCAGAGACGAUGGAGGGCGCUGAUUUCAGCGACCACAGCGCGUUCCUACGCACGGUGCACUACGCCAUGAACGUCGUGGCGGUGCGCAACGGCACACUGGAGUGUCCGGCGUGCAAGACGACAUUUGCGAUUAACGAUUUCAUUCCAAACUUCGUGCCGGAGGCGAAGUAGUGUGCAUCGCUGAGUGAGCGAGUGCGUCGACGUGCCUCUCUCCUUCCUUCCCCGCCCUCUCCGGAUCAUCGCCGUCUUCUCUUCAAGCUUUCGCCUGUCUCCCCGCUGUUGCCUCGUGCAUGAGUGAGGGGGUGAAGGCCAUGUCACGACGGGUAUGGCGUGGCUUGUGGCGUGUGGCGAGUGGCGAGGCCGUGUGUGUGCGCGCUCAGAUGCGCUCUUCUCUGUACUUAAAUACCUUUUAGCCGAGGCGUUCAUGUAAUCGCGUAAGCCGUCUCGGAUAAGGUUCGCCGACACACACAGACACACACACACACACACACAGCAGCAGCAGCAGCAGCAAGCAUGCACCCAACCACCGACAGGCGCAAAUUGACAGAGAUCGAUCCCGUCUCUCUCUCUCUCUCUCUUCAUUCGCCCGUUAUGAUCCUCCUCAUGUGCGCGUGCGCGUGGGGGGGGGAAGGCGAGCGAGAGAAGGAAAAUGUAGGGCACGGGCGCCCUCAAAGGCUAAGAUUUAGUAGAUCUUCGCAUGUGCGACAGCAAUAACGAGUAGUCCCUGGGAGUCGUGAGUGUGCGCGCUUGUGGCGAGCACACCCAGUUACCUGCGUGGCAGCUGCUGCUGCCCCUGUGAAGCAUCCCUCCCAGACUCCCUCCAUCAGUAAUGAUCGGUUGCGGGCUCGCAGAACGGACCCACUGUUCCCUCUCCCUCUUUCCUCACAUCCGCCUCGCCAUCCCCUUCCACGCCUCUCCCGUCCGUCUGUUCCGUCCAUUUUUCUGUUGCUGCUGCUAUUCUGCUGCUGCUCGUGCGCUUCUCCUUCCUGUCUCCACCCACCGCCAUGCUUCACACGGGCAUGCCUGUUGUGCUAG
This 1385-nucleotide unclassified non-coding RNA is filed under the name Leishmania donovani. RNAcentral describes it as "gene:LdHU3.06.0210(CDS-product:Trm112p-like_prote in_putative)". Lineage: Eukaryota; Euglenozoa; Kinetoplastea; Trypanosomatida; Trypanosomatidae. The record is from RNAcentral.